GCGGCGAGCGAAGCGGGAAGAGCUCAAAUUUAUAAUCUGGCACCUUCGGUGUCCGAGUUGUAAUCUCUAGAAAUGUUUUCCGCGUUGGACCGCACACAAGUCUGUUGGAAUACAGCGGCAUAGUGGUGAGACCCCCGUAUAUGGUGCGGACGCCCAGCGCUUUGUGAUACAUUUUCGAAGAGUCGAGUUGUUUGGGAAUGCAGCUCAAAUUGGGUGGUAAAUUCCAUCUAAAGCUAAAUAUUGGCGAGAGACCGAUAGCGAACAAGUACCGUGAGGGAAAGAUGAAAAGCACUUUGGAAAGAGAGUUAACAGUACGUGAAAUUGUUGGAAGGGAAACGCUUGAAGUCAGACUUGCUUGCCGAGCAAUCGGUUUGCAGGCCAGCAUCAGUUUUCCGGGAUGGAUAAUGGUAGAGAGAAGGUAGCAGUUUCGGCUGUGUUAUAGCUCUCUGCUGGAUACAUCUUGGGGGACUGAGGAACGCAGUGUGCCUUUGGCGGGGGUUUCGACCUCUUCACACUUAG
RNAcentral lists this ribosomal RNA (519 nucleotides) under Rhodotorula mucilaginosa. RNAcentral describes it as "LSU rRNA". It matches the Rfam family "Eukaryotic large subunit ribosomal RNA", at positions 86 to 620 of the family's 3401-position model. Lineage: Eukaryota; Fungi; Basidiomycota; Microbotryomycetes; Sporidiobolales; Sporidiobolaceae. The record is from RNAcentral.